This 444-nucleotide long non-coding RNA is filed under the name Homo sapiens (human). Its description in RNAcentral is "novel transcript". The record is from RNAcentral. Lineage: Eukaryota; Metazoa; Chordata; Mammalia; Primates; Hominidae.
UCCGGAAAUGAGCAUUUUAAUGCAGAAAGAAAACCAUGAUAAUUUACAAAUGAAUCACUUUCUGGGCCAGAGCCAGGAAGGCCCCAGGAGCUGUGAGGGUAGAAAGGGAGGUGGCUGCUGGGGAAGAUGUCAUGCUCAAUUCUUGGCCCCCACCCAUCACCAAGAUAGGUACAUCCAUGUGUCAGAGUUGGUGUGAUGCUGGUUUGGAGCUCAGCACCUCCCACAUGGGGCAUGCAGGGGGAGACGGACUGGAGGCUCAGGGCACUGGAGGUAGAAAGGAGCCCUCCCCGCCUCCUUCCCCAGGCCAGGAAGGGGUAAACACACAUAUAAGGCAGCCCCAAUUCCAGCAGGGCCUGAGGCUGGGAAUGAUGUGUUUCCCAGGGGUGGUUAUGGUUCAGGACCUGGCUGCAGGCACUUCCUCCCAAGCCUGGUGGGGUGAAGGGG